This 403-nucleotide ribosomal RNA is filed under the name uncultured bacterium. Its description in RNAcentral is "bacterial SSU rRNA". It matches the Rfam family "Bacterial small subunit ribosomal RNA", at positions 29 to 419 of the family's 1533-position model. The record is from RNAcentral.
AGCGAACGUUAGCGGCGGGCCUAACACAUGCAAGUCGAGCGAGAAAAGGGCUUCGGCCCUGAGUAAAGCGGCGGACGGGUGAGUAACACGUAGGUAAUCUUCCCUUGAGCGGGGGACGAACGAGCCGAAAGGCUCGCUAAUACCGCAUAAGUUCAUAGGGACUCCGGUCUUUAUGAGGAAAGCUAGGUAGCAAUAUCCGGCACUCGAGGAGGAGCCUGCGUCGCAUCAGCAGUUGGUGGGGUAACGGCCUACCAAGGCGAAGACGCGUAGCUGGUCUGAGAGGAUGAUCAGCCACACUGAAACUGAGACACGGUUCAGACUCCUACGGGAGGCAGCAGUCGGGAAUUUUGGGCAAUGGGCGAAAGCCUGACCCAGCAACGUCGCGUGAAGGAUGAAGUAUUUC